AUGAUGGGGACGGUAGUUGAGGGAGGAGGCUCUGGCUUGGGAGGUUGGUCAGGUUUAAGAGUGAUGAAUUGGAUUGGGGACACUGCUUCUUCUUUCUCCCGAUCUUCUUCUCUCUUUAUCUCAUCUUCCUGCAUCCUUUCCUCCGCUCUCUGUAUUUCCAUUUCUUGCUCUUUUUCUUUGAGUUUCUCCCUUUCCUUCUCUCUCAAUCUCUCCUCUUUCAUCCUAAGCUUCCCCCUCUCUCCUUCCUCUACCUGUCUCUCCUUUUCCCUUUCCACUUCUCGCUGUCUUUCUCCCUUCUCUUCUUUCCUCUUUCUCUCUUCCUCCUCUCUCAGUCUCUCCCUUUCCUUCUCAAGUUCUAUCUGUCUUUCUCUCUCCUUCUCUUCUUUCCUCUUUCUCUCUCUCUCGUCCUCCUCUCGCUGUCUCUCCCUUUCCUUCUCAAGUUCUAUCUGUCUUUUUCUCUCCUUCUCUUCUUUCCUCGUUCUCUCUCUCUCAUCCUCCUCUCUCUGUCUCUCCCUUUCCUUCUCAAAUUCUAUCAGUCUUUCUCUCUCCUUCUCUUCUUUCCUCUUUCUCUCUCUCUCAUCCUCCUCUCUCUGUCUCUCCCUUUCCUUCUCAAAUUCUAUCAGUCUUUCUCUCUCCUUCUCUUCUUUCCUCUUUCUCUCUCUCUCAUCCUCCUCUCUCUGUCUCUCUCUUUCCUUCUCAAAUUCUAUCAGUCUUUCUCUCUCCUCUUCUUUCCUCUUUCUCUCUCUCUCUUCUUCAUCUCUCUGUCUCUCCCUUUCCUUCUCAAAUUCUAUCAGUCUUUCUCUCUCCUCUUCUUUCCUCUUUCUCUCUCUCUCAUCCUCCUCUCUCUGUCUCUCCCUAUCCCUCUCCUCCUCUCUCUGUCUCUCCCUUUCCUUCUCAAAUUCUAUCAGUCUUUCUCUCUCCUCUUCUUUCCUCUUUCUCUCUCUCUCUUCUUCAUCUCUCUGUCUCUCCCUUUCCUUCUCAAAUUCUAUCAGUCUUUCUCUCUCCUCUUCUUUCCUCUUUCUCUCUCUCUCAUCCUCCUCUCUCUGUCUCUCCCUUUCCUUCUCAAAUUCUAUCAGUCUUUCUCUCUCCUCUUCUUUCCUCUUUCUCUCUCUCUCUUCCUCCUCUCUCUGUCUCUCCCUUUCCUUCUCAAAUUCUAUCAGUCUUUCUCUCUCCUCUUCUUUCCUCUUUCUCUCUCUCUCUUCUUCAUCUCUCUGUCUCUCCCUUUCCUUCUCAAAUUCUAUCAGUCUUUCUCUCUCCUCUUCUUUCCUCUUUCUCUCUCUCUCAUCCUCCUCUCUCUGUCUCUCCCUUUCCUUCUCAAAUUCUAUCAGUCUUUCUCUCUCCUCUUCUUUCCUCUUUCUCUCUCUCUCUUCCUCCUCUCUCAGUCUCUCCCUUUCCUUCUCAAGUUCUAUCUGUCUUUCUCUCUCCUUUUCUUCUUUCCUCUUUCUCUCUCUCUCUUCUUUAUCUCUCUGUCUCUCCCUAUCCCUCUCCUCCUCUCUCUGUCUCUGUCUCUUCAUUUCCCUCUCCAUUUCUCUUUGUCUUUUUCUCUCCUCUUCUUCUUCCCUCUUUCUCUCUUCCUCCUCUCUCUGUCUCUCCCUUUCCCUCUCCACUACCUUUUGUCUUUCUCUCUCCCUCUCAUCUUCUGCCUGUCUCUCUUCUAGUUCCAGCUGUUUUAAUUGA
Long non-coding RNA from Oncorhynchus kisutch (coho salmon), 1677 nucleotides. Lineage: Eukaryota; Metazoa; Chordata; Actinopteri; Salmoniformes; Salmonidae. The record is from Ensembl.